Molecule: ribosomal RNA, 262 nt
Filed under: uncultured archaeon
Lineage: Archaea
Description: partial 16S ribosomal RNA
Rfam family: Archaeal small subunit ribosomal RNA
Source: RNAcentral
AGGGUGUAAACGCUGCAGACUUGGUGUUGGAGGCCCUUUGGGGGCAUUCAGUGCCGGAGAGAAGUUGUUAAGUCUGCUACUUGGGGAGUACGUCCGCAAGGAUGAAACUUAAAGGAAUUGGCGGGGGAGCACCGCAACGGGAGGAGCGUGCGGUUUAAUUGGAUUCAACACCGUAAAACUCACCAGGGAAGACUGUUACAUGAAGGCCGAGAUGAAGACUCUGCUAGAUUUUUCAGAGAGGAGGUGCAUGGCGUCAGUGACU